GACGAACGCUGGCGGCGUGCCUAAUACAUGCAAGUAGAACGCUGAAGAGAGGAGCUUACUCUUCUUGGAUGAGUUGCGAACGGGUGAGUAACGCGUAGGUAACCUGCCUUGUAGCGGGGGAUAACUAUUGGAAACGAUAGCUAAUACCGCAUAACAAUGGAUGACACAUGUCAUUUAUUUGAAAGGGGCAAUUGCUCCACUACAAGAUGGACCUGCGUUGUAUUAGCUAGUAGGUGAGGUAAUGGCUCACCUAGGCGACGAUACAUAGCCGACCUGAGAGGGUGAUCAGCCACACUGGGAGUGAGACACGGCCCAGACGCCUACGGGAGGCAGCAGUAGGGAAUCUUCGGGAAUGGGUGCAACCCAGACCGAGCAACGCCGCGUGAGUGAAGAAGGUUGUCGGAUCGUAAAGCUCGGUUGUAAGUCAAGAACGGGUGUGAGAGUGGAAAGUUCACACUGUGACGGUAGCUUACCAGAAAGGAACGGCUAACUACGUG
RNAcentral lists this ribosomal RNA (497 nucleotides) under uncultured bacterium. Its description in RNAcentral is "partial 16S ribosomal RNA". It matches the Rfam family "Bacterial small subunit ribosomal RNA", at positions 28 to 507 of the family's 1533-position model. The record is from RNAcentral.